This 351-nucleotide ribosomal RNA is filed under the name uncultured bacterium. RNAcentral describes it as "bacterial SSU rRNA". It matches the Rfam family "Bacterial small subunit ribosomal RNA", at positions 8 to 350 of the family's 1533-position model. The record is from RNAcentral.
AGAGUUUGAUCAUGGCUCAGGAUGAACGCUAGCGACAGGCUUAACACAUGCAAGUCGAGGGGCAGCGAGGGAGUGGCAACACUUCUGUCGGCGACCGGCGCACGGGUGAGUAACGCGUAUGCAACCUGCCCUUCACAGGGGGAUAACCGGGAGAAAUUCCGACUAAUACCGCAUACGUCCCCUGGGGCAUCCCCUGGGGAUGAAAGAAUUAUCGGUGAAGGAUGGGCAUGCGUGAUAUUAGGUAGUUGGCGGGGUCAACGGGCCCACCAAGCCCACGAAUAUCUAGGGGUUCUGAGAGGAAGGUCCCCCACAUUGGUACUGAGACACGGACCAAACUACCUACGGGAGCGA